GACCACUUUUGGGGGUUACCCUCCUAUAAAGGGGUGUUUCCCACGCUACCUCUGCCCUUUUGCUGUUGUACUACAUGGGAGAGCUUUUCCCGGCUGCCCCCCGCUGCAAACGCUGCCUGAUGUUGUCCAUUAUCCAGGCACCAAAUGGACCCUCGUGGCCACGCAGGCUUAGAGAAUAAUUUGGCCUUAGAAAUUGAGAACAGACAACAUGCAUCGAUCAAAUUCAAACCAAGGGACCAAAAAGAUGACCCCAUCCCAUGAUGUCCCCUUCUCCACUUGAUGGAAGCUGCUCAGUUGUCAUUAGAAGACCUCCGUACAUAACUAAAGUGAUGAUUUAAGGCAAUGGAGCUCAAUUGAAUUUUGUUUAAAGCAAAAUGGCAUACGAUUAAACAGCAACCUACCUCUCCAGAAACAAUGUCCCAGUUAGUCAAUCCUGGCAUAUUACUUCAUGGGAGAUAUUUACCUGGCUGAGAGUGUACUGAAUACAUACUGUGUAUAAGAGUUCUAUAAAUGAAUAUGUUUAUAAAUGGAAUUGAGAUCUCAUGGAUUGCCCUGAAGUCAAUGUUGGUUUUGUUGUGUUAGGUCUUUUAAAGGAUGUGCUCUACAAACUCUCUGACAUACAGCCUUAUCACAGUAAAUGAUGCAUUCUUUUUUCCUUUCUUUGCAUUGAAACAGUAAUGGAAGAAGGGCCUACAUCAGUGCCAUAUUCCACGUAACCAGACUUUGCUCUUCUUUAUUGUUGUACAGCCUGGGCUAAUAAUUCGUUGGACCCAGAUUAUAGUAAAACUGUUUGGGGAAAGUGUAAAUCCCUGGGAUUUUACAUUUGUUCAUCAACAACCCAUUCAGGCCUUUACAGACACACACAGCUCAUGGGAUUAAACAGAAAGGGAAGGGGGCAGGGACUCUGCUGGGAGCUGUCUCUUUCAGCUUUCGCUCCGAGGAUGAUGGUCAGCAGUGGUUAUGUAAUCCAAGUGGAUGGCUGAGCUGUUCCCCUCUGUGAUGCAUGAUGCUUUUGUCUGUGUCCCACUAACCGGGUUGCUUCUAGCACGCUAGCAGCACAUAUGCAAACAAUGUUGUACAGUAAGGCCAAUGUUUGUUAUAUUUAUGACAGUUUAGAGGCCGACUUCCUUUGAAUCACCAUACUUACUUACAUACUUGCUGCAGUUGUUGCAUUGAGGGAUAUCUCAGCAUUUAUUUCGAGGAGUACAGUGUUUUGAUGAUGGUUGUGAGUGAUGGUAAAAUCUAUGAAAAAUAAAAAAGUUAUAUAAACAAGAAAUAUUGAAUGCAGAAUCGCCAUCAACCAAAAUGAAGUAAAUUGGACACAGCACUAAAUCAGAUUCUCCAUCAAUAUCAGAUUUUAUUUAGCAUUUUAUUAAUUCCUGCAUAUCCAUGCAUACAGUAUAAUGACCUCACAGGGUUGCAGAGAGAGAGAUAGAGGGAGAAAGAGAAAGAGAGACCAAAAUAUAUGUUCCAUUUAAUGUAUUGCAGGGUAUAAUAAGACAGCAGCAACCCAAAUCGCUUGCACUCAAUUAGUGUUACGUUGUCAAA
This is a long non-coding RNA of Eleginops maclovinus (Patagonian blennie), 1548 nucleotides long. RefSeq lists it as uncharacterized. The transcript has 3 exons. The record is from RefSeq and is a predicted model, not a curated record. Lineage: Eukaryota; Metazoa; Chordata; Actinopteri; Perciformes; Eleginopidae.